Molecule: unclassified non-coding RNA, 21 nt
Filed under: Dictyostelium discoideum
Lineage: Eukaryota; Evosea; Eumycetozoa; Dictyosteliales; Dictyosteliaceae
Source: RNAcentral
AUACCUUAACAAUAGCUUAAU